UACGUAGGGUGCAAGCGUUGUCCGGAAUUAUUGGGCGUAAAGAGCUCGUAGGCGGUUUGUCGAGUCUGCUGUGAAAACUCGGGGCUUAACCCCGGGCCUGCAGUGGGUACGGGCAGACUAGAGUGCGGUAGGGGAGACUGGAAUUCCUGGUGUAGCGGUGAAAUGCGCAGAUAUCAGGAGGAACACCGGUGGCGAAGGCGGGUCUCUGGGCAACAACUGACGCUGAGGAGCGAAAGCGUGGGGAGCGAACAGG
RNAcentral lists this ribosomal RNA (253 nucleotides) under uncultured bacterium. RNAcentral's name for it is "partial 16S ribosomal RNA". It matches the Rfam family "Bacterial small subunit ribosomal RNA", at positions 524 to 776 of the family's 1533-position model. The record is from RNAcentral.